CAGUAGCCGCGGUAAUACAGAGGGUGCAAGCGUUAAUCGGAAUUACUGGGCGUAAAGCGCGCGUAGGUGGUUUGUUAAGUCGAAUGUGAAAUCCCCGGGCUCAACCUGGGAACUGCAUCCGAAACUGGCAAGCUAGAGUAUGGUAGAGGGUAGUGGAAUUUCCUGUGUAGCGGUGAAAUGCGUAGAUAUAGGAAGGAACACCAGUGGCGAAGGCGACUACCUGGACUGAUACUGACACUGAGGUGCGAAAGCGUGGGGAGCAAACAGGAUUAGAUACCCCCGUAGUCCCUGUCUCUUAUAC
RNAcentral lists this ribosomal RNA (301 nucleotides) under uncultured bacterium. RNAcentral describes it as "partial 16S ribosomal RNA". It matches the Rfam family "Bacterial small subunit ribosomal RNA", at positions 509 to 807 of the family's 1533-position model. The record is from RNAcentral.